Molecule: long non-coding RNA, 1610 nt
Organism: Triticum dicoccoides
Lineage: Eukaryota; Viridiplantae; Streptophyta; Magnoliopsida; Poales; Poaceae
Exons: 2
Source: RefSeq, a predicted model, not a curated record
CUCCUCCCCACGACCUCCACCAACUCCCUGCUCGCCUCCAAGCCAGCCACCUCCCUGGACCCCAAUUCCCUCCCCGCACCGCCCCACCUCCCUCCCCACCUUCUCCGGCACGACGCGCCCCUACCCUCCCCACCUUCUCUGGCGGCACCGCCCACCACCACCUCCGACCGCGUCCCACAAGAACCACCUUCUAUGCUGGUCGCCGCCCUCCUCUUUCUCCCGCGCCAUCGAGCGGUCAUGGCGGGAUCCGGACGCCCUCUGCCACCGGCGCGGCCGCAGCCACCAGAUCUGGCCGUCGUGGCCAUUGGUGCAUCCACGACGACGGAUCUGGCUGCUCCAACCCUCAGAGUAGAAGCCCCCCGCUCAUUCAGCCAGGCGCUGGAUCCGUCGAGAUCCGCACGGGGGUACUAUGAAGUGGGUCUCUAUGGGGCGACGGCCUUCUUCUCCACCGACGGCCAACAUCAACGCCAAGCUCCACCCUCUCCCUAAUCUCCCUCGGUGGCGGCGCCCCUCGCCUGCAGCCGGCGCCUCCAGCAGCGCUGCCCUGUCAUGCAUGGACAGCGAUCCAACUUAGCCAGGCCACGCGAGGAUGCAGCCGGCCAAGCCACAUCGUCGUCAUCCUCGUCUUUGGCCAUCACUGCUCGGAUUUGCACCACCACUGGUGCCUCAUCGCACACCUGUCCACCGCCAAGGGCCGAGGAGGAGUCCAGGCGGCCUUCAUCUCCUCUCUGAGAGGAGCCGCACGGCAGGGGAGGGGAGGGUCUGACUGCGGGGGUCACGGAGGAGCUGCUUGCCAGGGCGCGACAGCUCGGAUCUAUCGCCGACCAGCGUAUGGAAAGGCUGGUGGUGGUCGUGGUGGCUCGUAGGCCCCGGCCCGCCGGCGCACAGGAGGGAGAUGUGGGCUGUAGGAGGGUGGUGAUGGCACCCUCGCCUGGAUCCGGGAGGAGCUGGGUAGGAGUGGGUGGCAGCGACCACCCACCGCAUCACUGGCCUCUGUGCAGCUCGGUUGCCGCUCCCCGUGCAGCUCGCAUGCCGCCCCCGUGCAACUCACCUCCCGCGAGCAAACUCUCUCUGGCGAGUCCAUCUCGUGUCCGCACCACUUGUUGUGUCAGUUCGAUUACAUGGAUCGGUUUCAGUGCGAGAGCGCAGCAGCACUCCCACGAAAGGACCUAGUGCGGUUCAUUAGCUUAUUCUAAAUUAUUGAAAAAUCCUGCAGUCCUGUUUCUAAUUAGUAACAAAACAGUUUGAGUGCAGUUUUUUGAUUAUUUUGCAGCAGCACUUCCAUUCAACCCGCAGGUCGUUUCCAACACAAAACGUGCAUUUUGGAUGCGCGUGGUGUUUUGUUUCACCUCGUGACAGAAUGCAACCCAGGUCGUCACUCGGUGCAGUCAACCUCGCCAUGCGAUGACGUACACCGACGUCUCCAAGCAGUUCUGACGACCAGCUCGCGUGAGCCCGCAACUCCCCGACUUUCUUUGUUGUGGGUCGUAUGAAUUACAGUGUGGCUCAGAUCAUACCAUGAAGUUUGGAGCAUGUGAACAUGCAGUGUAAAAUGGUGCAUUUUGUUUUUGAGGGGUUUAUGUAUAAAAAUUACAGGGACUUUAUUUGAA